CCCUUCUCUUCCUUAUCAUCUGUUUCCUUCUUCUUUUUUUUUUUUUUUUUUUUUUUUUUUUUCUCUCUAGACUAAGGAAAGGUUGAGACAUUGAAGUUGGCAGCUUGGAAGCUUGUGAGCUGAGGAAGAUAAUCUGAUCCAAGCAGGAAUUUUGGAUGGUUGAGCUGAGAGCAACCUGGUAGAAGCUUAAAUUAAGUAGCAGAAUUGAAGCUGUGGGUUAUUGGAGCUUGCUCGAACAAGGGACCAGCUGAGAAGACUUGGAAUUUGAGAUUGAGAUUUGGGGCCCUGGGUUAAUUAAUGAGGAAGGAAAUUGGAGGAGUUCCGGAUUAAGAAGCAGCAGAGUUGAAGGCAUGAUUGGAUGAAGUUGCCGAAUUGGAAGAUUGGGCUAUUUGAAGUACUAAGGAAGUUGCCACUUGAAGCUGCUGCUUGGUGAAAAUUCUGAGCACCCAGAAUUGGAGAGGACUCGAGGAGCCUCUAGGUGUUUUGCAUUUCAACAAGUCUAGUACAACCUUGAAGUGGAGCCUUAACAAUUGUAAAUCAUUGAAGCUGAAAACGAACUGAUUUGCGUAUGCUAAAAUAAUCAUAAAUGAAGUGGCUUGGUGCAGUUAGUGAGGUCGACGACGCGCUGAUUACGGUAGAGACCGUUCUAGUGUUAUUUGCACCGAGUCACGAGAGAUAGUUGUCGACGCAUUUCGAGACAUUGAUCUUAGUUAAUUGACACCACUUCAGGUUCCAGUGCGAGCGGUGUGGCCGAGAAUCGUGGCAAGAGCCCCGCAGCUUAGCUAGCUGACGCCAGAGUAUAGUAGUUUACCAUUUUGAGUUCAUGUGGGACAUUUUGAUGUACAGAGACAUGUAAAUGAAUGUAUUAUAAAGCUUGUAAAUAA
Ananas comosus (pineapple) is the source of this 884-nucleotide long non-coding RNA. RefSeq lists it as uncharacterized. The transcript is spliced from 6 exons. The record is from RefSeq and is a predicted model, not a curated record. NCBI's taxonomy places the organism in Eukaryota, Viridiplantae, Streptophyta, Magnoliopsida, Poales, Bromeliaceae.